AAGUCACAGAGAGUAAUUAACAAUUAAGAUAAUUGAAAAGGUCAACUAAAUGUAAACAGAAUUGCGAUCAGCUGGUGGUAACCAUGGUUACCAUUCAUCUUCCUGUUUUCGCGGUUAAAACUCAAUUACAUGAGAAAAUGAGAUUAAUCAUUUUCUUAAUCUUUUCUUUUUUUAUUCUUCUUUAGUUCAAAUUAACUGGUUUUCUCUUUCUUUUAUUUUCCGUCUGUGACCUUGAUCUUCAGGUUUCUCUUUCUUUACCUGUUGAAAGGAAAUUCUGAUCCUCUGCCUUUUCCUGUGUUUCUUUUUUUGGGUGUUGGCUUUUGUUUUUUUUUUGUUCCUUCUUCUUGUGUGUGGGUUGAAAACACGGAAAUUAUGGUUCACCUUUAUAAUUUUAGAAUUAGUUAACUAAUUGUUAACAUUGUAACUCCAAUAGAUGAACAAUCUUGGUCAUUUUUUUCUGGAAUCUCUCAUGUUACCUGUUUCAUGGUUUACAUCAUCAUCUCCAUCAUGAUGGGUCAUGAUUACAACCUUAUGGAUACAUGACAAGGUUAAUAUAUUUUGAUGGACAUUUACUGAUUUUGUCUCAUCAUCAUCAACAUUUUCUGCUUGAUUAACCAAUUAGGUUUGUUCUUUAAGAAACAAAUUGGAUACUUAAGAAAAUAUUCACUUCAUAUUCUAUAGACUGUCAACUGAUUGUUUCUAAAUUGGAAGUGAUUGUGAUUAAUUUUUUUUCUAUCUUCUUCUAAAUCGAUUGAUGGUUAAUGAUUUGUGGAAACAAGGGAAUCAAUUAAUUGGCAUAAAAACUUAGUCAUAUUCCUGAUAUUCCAUGAGAGAUGAAAUAAUCCAAAGUGAACAACCAUUAAAGGACAUUAACCAUGGAAAUUUUUGGAGAAAAGAAGAAAAUUUGAUCAAAUUUUAACCAUGAUAAUCAAUUAAUUGCUGUUGAUGAUCAAUUUUCUAUUGUUCCUGCUGAUAGACUUGAUUGGAUAAGGAAACUCUGUUGGAGAUUUAAAAAUUUACAUCAUUUUAUUUGAUCAUUCAAUCAACUCGGUGAUUAAAAUCUACGUCUGGUCAAUAUCUAAUUCAUCUCAGAUUCUAACAAUUAGAUGAUCAUCAUAAUCAACAAAUCUCAUUGAUUAUCGUUCAGUUUAACAAGGUUUGAAAUUUUGUUCUAUUCUAUUCCAAUGAGAUUUAUCAUCCUCCCAAUUCUUGGUUAUUCAUCAGCAUCAGAAUCUUUUUUGCUUCUUCCUGAUCAUCUUCUCAUGGAAAAGGUCAAAAAUCGGAUACAGAGAUUUGUUCAUUCAACUUAUUAUCACAAUGGCGAUUUCCUUAUAUUUCAGAUUUGACAGUUUGAUGAGCAAAAAAUUUGAUUGUUGUGAAAAAAAUGAAAAUAGAUUAACGGAAAUUGAAUUUAAUUACCACUCGUAUCAAAAUCUACGUGAUGUUACAAUUUAAUUAUUACCUGAACAUUGACAUUGAUUGUGAUCUAAUUUAACUGGUUAAAAUUAAUCUCUAAUUUUGUAAUCAUAUUAUUAGAUUUAAAUUCAAGUUUGAUUAUUGUUACAC
Panonychus citri (citrus red mite) is the source of this 1566-nucleotide long non-coding RNA. RefSeq lists it as uncharacterized. The transcript has 3 exons. The record is from RefSeq and is a predicted model, not a curated record. Lineage: Eukaryota; Metazoa; Arthropoda; Arachnida; Trombidiformes; Tetranychidae.